CCGUAUUUUUGAACGUCAGAUUAUUUGCUGAGGUGGGGCCCACACAUCAAGAUUUUUUUUGGGACAUCUGAAAAGUCAUAUGAAUCACAUAUGUGAAGUUAAACACAACUCAAGAAGGACCCUUGGGCCAAAUCAAAGUGGAAGUCCUCCAAACGAAUAUUUUUAAGAAAACGUUUUCGGGUGAUCUGACUUCUAGGGGCAAAAACGGUAUUAUAAGUUUGGAAUUUGGAAAAUACCAAGAAAUAGAAGUUGUAGAUAAUUGAAUUAGCUUUCCAACCAUAGGUCGUGGGUUCCCAGGUGACAUCGGUACAAGGAGAUAUGGACGUUGUAAGGUCGAAAGGUCAGUGGGCUAGGCCCAACUCGGGAUCAACCGAGUUGGCCCAAAAAAAUAAAAAAACGAAUUAAGGCCCAAAGGAGAGGGGUGGCCGGCCAUCUUAUGGCCCAAGCCCACAAAAUUAAUAAAUUUCCCAUGUGAUAAUUAAUAUAAAGGAUCAUUAAAUUGUCUUGAAACAUUUAGAAGUUUCAAGACAAUUGAGAAAGAGAGAAACAAGAGAAAGAAGAGCAAGAAUAAGAAGGCCAUUUUCGGCCAAGCUCUAGACCAAAAAAAAAAAAAUUUUUUUUUUUUUUUCAAAAAUCAUUUUCUACCAAUUAAAGGGGUCCUUUACAACUUGGUGUAAUUAUUUUGGAAGAAAGAACACUUGUUUCUUCAAGUUGACAACUUGGUCAAGUGAAGAAGAUUGUAGAAAAAGAUUUUGGCGAACUUGAAACUUGAUUUUGGAGACGUGUAUGAAUCGGAAAAGGUCAACAGGUAGACAGAUUUGACUCUUAGAAGCUCCAUCAGCAGUACUGUGGCAGCGCUCCAGUUGUUCCGGAGCCUCAGUUUCUUGGUACUACUUUUGUGUACAUAUUCGGGCACGGUAGAACCGGUCCUUCUUGUAUAUGUAGAUGUACUUUGUUUAGAGGCUCAUAGACAGAUAUGUACUGUCAGAUGUUUUGUACUUUUGUGGUCUUCGUCGUUGUAUA
Lycium barbarum (goji berry) is the source of this 1023-nucleotide long non-coding RNA. RefSeq lists it as uncharacterized. The transcript has 3 exons. NCBI's taxonomy places the organism in Eukaryota, Viridiplantae, Streptophyta, Magnoliopsida, Solanales, Solanaceae. The record is from RefSeq and is a predicted model, not a curated record.